CCUACGGGGGGCUGCAGUGGGGAAUAUUGCACAAUGGGCGCAAGCCUGAUGCAGCCAUGCCGCGUGUGUGAAGAAGGCCUUCGGGUUGUAAAGCACUUUCAGCGGGGAGGAAGGCGUUAAGGUUAAUAACCUUGGCGAUUGACGUUACCCGCAGAAGAAGCACCGGCUAACUCCGUGCCAGCAGCCGCGGUAAUACGGAGGGUGCAAGCGUUAAUCGGAAUUACUGGGCGUAAAGCGCACGCAGGCGGUCUGUCAAGUCGGAUGUGAAAUCCCCGGGCUCAACCUGGGAACUGCAUUCGAAACUGGCAGGCUAGAGUCUUGUAGAGGGGGGUAGAAUUCCAGGUGUAGCGGUGAAAUGCGUAGAGAUUUGGAGGAAUACCGGUGGCGAAGGCGGCCCCCUGGACAAAGACUGACGCUCAGGUGCGAAAGCGUGGGGAGCAAACAGGAUUAGAUACCCGGGUAGUC
Molecule: ribosomal RNA, 465 nt
Filed under: uncultured Klebsiella sp.
Lineage: Bacteria; Pseudomonadati; Pseudomonadota; Gammaproteobacteria; Enterobacterales; Enterobacteriaceae
Description: bacterial SSU rRNA
Rfam family: Bacterial small subunit ribosomal RNA
Source: RNAcentral